AGGUUGACCUCGGAUCAGGUAGGGAUACCCGCUGAACUUAAGCAUAUCAAUAAGCGGAGGAAAAGAAACCAACAGGGAUUGCUCUAGUAACGGCGAGUGAAGCAGCAAUAGCUCAAAUUUGAAAUCUGGCGUCUUCGACGUCCGAGUUGUAAUUUGUAGAGGAUGCUUCUGAGUAACCACCGACCUAAGUUCCUUGGAACAGGACGUCAUAGAGGGUGAGAAUCCCGUAUGCGGUCGGAAAGGUGCUCUAUACGUAGCUCCUUCGACGAGUCGAGUUGUUUGGGAAUGCAGCUCUAAAUGGGAGGUAAAUUUCUUCUAAAGCUAAAUAUUGGCCAGAGACCGAUAGCGCACAAGUAGAGUGAUCGAAAGAUGAAAAGCACUUUGGAAAGAGAGUUAAAAAGCACGUGAAAUUGUUAAAAGGGAAGGGAUUGCAACCAGACUUGCUCGCGGUGUUCCGCCGGUCUUCUGACCGGUCUACUCGCCGCGUUGCAGGCCAGCAUCGUCUGGUGCCGCUGGAUAAGACUUGAGGAAUGUAGCUCCCUCGGGAGUGUUAUAGCCUCUUGUGAUGCAGCGAGCGCCGGGCGAGGUCCGCGCUUCGGCUAGGAUGCUGGCGUAAUGGUCGUAAUCCGCCCGUCUUGAAACACGGACCAAGGAGUCUAACAUCUAUGCGAGUGUUCGGGUGUCAAACCCCUACGCGUAAUGAAAGUGAACGGAGGUGAGAACCGCAAGGUGCAUCAUCGACCGAUCCUGAUGUCUUCGGAUGGAUUUGAGUAAGAGCAUAGCUGUUGGGACCCGAAAGAUGGUGAACUAUGCCUGAAUAGGGUGAAGCCAGAGGAAACUCUGGUGGAGGCUCGCAGCGGUUCUGACGUGCA
RNAcentral lists this ribosomal RNA (872 nucleotides) under uncultured Ascomycota. Its description in RNAcentral is "eukaryotic LSU rRNA". It matches the Rfam family "Eukaryotic large subunit ribosomal RNA", at positions 1 to 895 of the family's 3401-position model. The record is from RNAcentral. Lineage: Eukaryota; Fungi; Ascomycota.